GCCAGGCAGGGGAGCGUCUCCUGUGAGUCCUCUCUGAAGUGGAUGGAUGCUGGCUCCAGACAUCCAGGAGCCGACAGAGUGCGCCGACAGGUUGACGCUUCAUGCUUUGCUGUUGUGGCCCUGUGACAGCAUCGCUGGCCACACAGGGCACUGCUAACCAGUGCACAACCUUUGAGGCUCUAGUCCAGAGAUGCUCCAUGAAAAGAGCUUGAAAGUUCGA
RNAcentral lists this long non-coding RNA (220 nucleotides) under Mustela putorius furo (domestic ferret). RNAcentral's name for it is "lncRNA (ENSMPUG00000026813.1)". Lineage: Eukaryota; Metazoa; Chordata; Mammalia; Carnivora; Mustelidae. The record is from RNAcentral.